GAUGAACGCUGGCGGCGUGCCUAAUACAUGCAAGUUGAGCGCAGGGACGAGGUGCUUGUUUUAACGGUGUUAGCGGCGGACGGGUGAGUAACACGUGGAGAACCUGCCUAUAAGACUGGGAUAACUUCUGGAAACCAGAGCUAAUACCGGAUAAAAUCUUUAAACGCAUGGUUCAAGAGUGAAAGAUGCAAUUGCUGCAAUCAAUAGUUGGCUCCGCUCUGCAUUAGCUAGUUGGUAAGGAAAGGGUCUACCAAGGCAACGUUCCUAGGCCGACCGGGAAGGUGGAUCGGCCACACUGGAACUGGAAACCGCCCAAGAUUCCUAGGGGAGCAGCCGGUAGGGAAUCUCCGCCAAGGGCGGAAGGCCUGCCGGAGCAACCCCGCGUGAUUGAUGAAGGUCUUCGGUUCUUAAACCCUUUUUAUUAGGGAAGAACAUAUGUGUAAGUAACUGUGCACAUCGUGACGGUACCUAACCAGAAAGCCACGGCUAACUACGUG
Molecule: ribosomal RNA, 497 nt
Filed under: uncultured bacterium
Lineage: Bacteria
Description: partial 16S ribosomal RNA
Rfam family: Bacterial small subunit ribosomal RNA
Source: RNAcentral